GGCUCCGCUCCCGAGAAAGCAACAGGUCCCCGCAGGGGCGCGGGGCGCAUACUCACACACAGGCCUCCGAGCCGUUGAGGAACACGCGGCACUUCCCGCCAUUCAAGCAGCUCUCGCUGGGCUGGGAACAUCGCAGGCCUGCGGAGGGGCACGAGCAGAGAAGGAAGAUAUAGGCUUCUCACAGCGAAAUCGUUCUGCCGCAGCAGGAAUUGCUGAAGAGGAGCCAGGAGUUGCACCCCCCGCAGCUCUGCAACCCCACCCCCACCCAGCCGGCGGCCCCAUCCCCCAGAACAGCGAGGCCUGGAGUUAAUUCAAAGGAAGAAACGUGAAGCAAAGCAGAUGCUGCC
Long non-coding RNA from Hippopotamus amphibius kiboko, 347 nucleotides. RefSeq lists it as uncharacterized. Lineage: Eukaryota; Metazoa; Chordata; Mammalia; Artiodactyla; Hippopotamidae. The transcript is spliced from 3 exons. The record is from RefSeq and is a predicted model, not a curated record.